Molecule: long non-coding RNA, 504 nt
Filed under: Marmota monax (woodchuck)
Lineage: Eukaryota; Metazoa; Chordata; Mammalia; Rodentia; Sciuridae
Source: RNAcentral
UAAUACUCCCAGCCCAAAUUUUCAAUUAUUUAUAUACCAAACCCCAAUAAUCCCUUUUUCCUGGCCCUCAACUCAGAACACAAAUAAGCUUUGGGAAUUAUUUACCAGAAGUCAGGAGAUACUGUUGUAGGGGACAGAUGAGUCAGGACACCCAGGACAGCAGGAAGCAGUUUUAUUUGGCUGCAGCCAGAUUUAGUGGAUAGAACUUUUUCUAUAAUCAAUUAAUCCCCCUGAACCCUGAGUUCAGGCAGUUUGAGAACUUAUUCUCAGUGUGUAAGAGAAAGGGCUUCACAGUUCACAGUCACCAGAAGUUUACACAAAAGCAGGUUUUUCUUUUCUUUUUUUUUAAAAUUUCUUACAUACAUGACAAUAAUGGAAUGCAUUGCAAUCAUAAUUAUCCAUCCACAGCACAGUUUUUCAUAACUCUGUAUAUAAAGUAUGUUCACACCAAAUUAUGCCAUUAUACAUGAGCUCUCUUAUUAUUAUUAUUUUUUUGCAUUACAA